This 465-nucleotide ribosomal RNA is filed under the name uncultured bacterium. RNAcentral's name for it is "partial 16S ribosomal RNA". It matches the Rfam family "Bacterial small subunit ribosomal RNA", at positions 28 to 507 of the family's 1533-position model. The record is from RNAcentral.
GAUGAACGCUGGCGGCGUGCUUAACACAUGCAAGUCGAACGGAAAGGCUCCUGCUUGCAGGGGUACUCGAGUGGCGAACGGGUGAGUAACACGUGGGUAACCUGCCCUGCACUUCGGGAUAAGCCUGGGAAACUGGGGCUAAUACCGGAUAGGACCACCUGUUGGAUGGUGUGGUGGAAAGUUUUUCGGUGGGGGAUGAACUCGCGGCCUAUCAGCUUGUUGGUGGGGUAGUGGCGUACCAAGGCGUCGACGGGUAGCCGGCCUGAGAGGGUGACCGGCCACAUUGGGACUGAGAUACGGCCCAGACUCCUACGGGAGGCAGCAGUGGGGAAUAUUGCACAAUGGGCGGAAGCCUGAUGCAGCGACGCCGCGUGGGGGAUGACGGCCUUCGGGUUGUAAACUCCUUUCGCCAGGGACGAAGCGCGAGUGACGGUACCUGGAGAAGAAGCACCGGCUAACUACGUG